RNAcentral lists this long non-coding RNA (359 nucleotides) under Trifolium pratense (red clover). RNAcentral's name for it is "long non-coding RNA (TPRA_LNC001911)". Lineage: Eukaryota; Viridiplantae; Streptophyta; Magnoliopsida; Fabales; Fabaceae. The record is from RNAcentral.
AAGGUUUGGAUCGAAAAACAACAGUAACAACCAUGGAAACAAGGUUGAUUACUUGAUUUGAUUGUUGGGUUGAAGAGAGAGAUUAGAACAUUGAUUCGUGGGUAAGUGAAUCUAAGUUUAUGAUGUUUGUGUUGUGCGUGGAUAAAUGGAAUCCAAAUUGUGUCUUUGAGGAAGAAGUGGAUCUAAGAUUAUUUUGCAAUUUUGAAAUAUUUUAUUUGGAUUUGUUUUGAAUUCUGGAGGUUCUAAUGGUGAAGUUAUGAAGAAUAUGAUGAAGGAAUUGAGGGAGAAGAUGAAGGAAUGGAGGAAGAAUUUGUUGGUGAUGGUGCGCUCUAAGAUUUAGUGGACAUGUAAAAUCUAAU